Molecule: ribosomal RNA, 234 nt
Filed under: uncultured bacterium
Lineage: Bacteria
Description: partial 16S ribosomal RNA
Rfam family: Bacterial small subunit ribosomal RNA
Source: RNAcentral
UGGGUGAUCUGCCCUGCACUUUGGGAUAAGCCUGGGAAACUGGGUCUAAUACCGAAUACACCUCGCUGGCCGCAUGGCCUGGUGGGGGAAAGCUUUUGCGGUGUGGGAUGGGCCCGCGGCCUAUCAGCUUGUUGGUGGGGUGAUGGCCUACCAAGGCGACGACGGGUAGCCGGCCUGAGAGGGUGACCCGGCCACACUGGGACUGAGACACGGUCCAGACUCCGUACGGGAGCA